RNAcentral lists this ribosomal RNA (298 nucleotides) under uncultured Sphingomonadaceae bacterium. RNAcentral describes it as "partial 16S ribosomal RNA". It matches the Rfam family "Bacterial small subunit ribosomal RNA", at positions 111 to 426 of the family's 1533-position model. Lineage: Bacteria; Pseudomonadati; Pseudomonadota; Alphaproteobacteria; Sphingomonadales; Sphingomonadaceae. The record is from RNAcentral.
UAACGCGUGGGAAUCUGCCUAUCAGUGGGGAAUAACGACGGGAAACUGUCGCUAAUACCGCAUACGCCCUUAGGGGGAAAGAUUUAUCGCUGAUAGAUGAGCCCGCGUACGAUUAGCUAGUUGGUGAGGUAAUGGCUCACCAAGGCAACGAUCGUUAGCUGGUCUGAGAGGAUGAUCAGCCACACUGGGACUGAGACACGGCCCAGACUCCUACGGGAGGCAGCAGUGGGGUUUAUUGGACAAUGGGCGAAAGCCUGAUCCAGCAAUGCCGCGUGAGUGAUGAAGGCCUUAGGGUUGU